This 1730-nucleotide long non-coding RNA is filed under the name Vulpes vulpes (red fox). RNAcentral describes it as "lncRNA (ENSVVUG00000018868.1)". Lineage: Eukaryota; Metazoa; Chordata; Mammalia; Carnivora; Canidae. The record is from RNAcentral.
CCUGAACCCAAGAUGACUGGUGUCUUUACAGGAAGAGGAGAGACAGACGCAGAGAGGAGACUCCCAUGUGGUAAAGGAGACACAGGGAAUUUGUAUUGGCAGAGGCAGAGAUUGGAAGGAAGCACCGGGGGAGCCAAAGGAAACUAGGAGAGAAGGAAGGAAGGAUUGUCUCCCGAUGCUCCCAGGAAGCCCAGCCCAGACAUCUGCAGUGUAGACACAGACUCCACAACGUGACAGAAUGUGUUUCUAUUGCUGCCAGCUACCCCGUUUGUGACCAUUUGUUACGGCAGCCCCAGGAAAUGAGUGUGGUCUAUUUUUACCUGUAUCUCCAGUCUUCGUCUGGACAGAAUUCUCCCCCAUUAUCUGUGAUUUUGGCUGCCUGUGCUCAAUAGCGUCCUGGAAGCCGAUGCUCCUGCUUAUGUAUUGCAAAGGGAACGAGGCCGACCAAGAAUCACGGUGCUGUUCAUUUCAGACAUGGGAGCAGAAGACAAGAUUUCAGACUCAUACACACUGCGACCCCAUGCCCGACUUCAAAAAAACAGUGAUUCAUCCAGACACCAAAGCUCAGCAGCUCAGAGUCAACCUCAAAUAUAGUCAAAGCUCACCAAGUGCUCCCCCAAGAAAAAUAGAACCUAAGUGCCUGACGACCUUUACCGCAGGCAUAUUUUUAGGGACGUGCCUAUCCCGUAUACUUCUUGCUCCCUCACGUAGAAGGAAAUCUCUAGAAUAACACCUCCAACUGAGCCUCUCUUCCUCCAACUCUCUUGCUCCCCAGGUAAGAAAGAGGGUCUGCACCUGUUGGGCAUCACAGAGGACCAACGUCUCCUCUCUUAUCCUCUCUUCUCCCCUCCUCUCUAUUUCGACUAUUCUACUAUUUUAAAAAUAAUAGAUGCAAUCAUUUCAUUUGAAUUAUUUAAUUCCUAGCGAUUUAAAAUCAGACACUUGAACGACCCGACUAACUUUUCCUAAUGAAGCUAGCAAUUUUUUAAAUGUGUUAUGUGACACGCCCUGCACGUUUUCGUUUUAAGUGAGAACUCUGUAUAAUGAACGGUAGAGACAAACUUCCUAAGUCUGUCGCCACUAGAAUUAUCUAGGCUUGUUUCUGAUAAAAUCACUUUUCACAAAUUGUAGAGAAUGCCGACUGCCGUAAUGUGUCAUGUCCAUGGAUUCUCGUAUCUGCAGAUGGCCAGAGCCCACUAGGCAGCUGCCACCUGCUUUCCCCCUUAUUAACUUGGGUAGAGACCCUCCGCCCUUGCCCACCCACCACUCUGCUGCAUUCCAUAUGACACUAAAGACUUCCUUUUGAGGCCAAACCAGAAUCUGGCAUCGUGACCUUCACCAGAAAGCUAACUCCUGCGGAAAACUGCACUAGACGGUAGAAAUCGUAAAGUACUCUUGUCACAUGCAAUGUAAAUCCCCAAAUCAACAAAUAGGUAGUUGUCAAAACGUGUCACUUCUCCACGGUGGCGUGCUGACAACUCGUGAGAUAUUUUAGGUGCAUUUUGACAACAAGGCAUAAUUAACUGUGGCUGCAUUUUGGAAGGAUUUUUUAAUUUUAAUUUUUUUUUUUUUUCUGAGAAUAUCAACUGGCCCAGAUUCCCCAGGUAGGGAGGGACGUCAUCAACAAAGGCUGUUACUCUGCCGAAGAACUGGCCUUGAGGCUCUCCCUAGGAGUUGCAAAGCAAUGAGAUUUCCUUCCCACGGAGUGGCAACACACACGUGAAUGUGCA